RNAcentral lists this ribosomal RNA (1371 nucleotides) under uncultured bacterium. RNAcentral's name for it is "bacterial SSU rRNA". It matches the Rfam family "Bacterial small subunit ribosomal RNA", at positions 28 to 1381 of the family's 1533-position model. The record is from RNAcentral.
GAUGAACGCUGGCGGCGUGCCUAAUACAUGCAAGUCGAGCGAACGGACGAGAAGCUUGCUUCUCUGAUGUUAGCGGCGGACGGGUGAGUAACACGUGGAUAACCUACCUAUAAGACUGGGAUAACUUCGGGAAACCGGAGCUAAUACCGGAUAAUAUUUUGAACCGCAUGGUUCAAAAGUGAAAGACGGUCUUGCUGUCACUUAUAGAUGGAUCCGCGCUGCAUUAGCUAGUUGGUAAGGUAACGGCUUACCAAGGCAACGAUGCAUAGCCGACCUGAGAGGGUGAUCGGCCACACUGGAACUGAGACACGGUCCAGACUCCUACGGGAGGCAGCAGUAGGGAAUCUUCCGCAAUGGGCGAAAGCCUGACGGAGCAACGCCGCGUGAGUGAUGAAGGUCUUCGGAUCGUAAAACUCUGUUAUUAGGGAAGAACAUAUGUGUAAGUAACUGUGCACAUCUUGACGGUACCUAAUCAGAAAGCCACGGCUAACUACGUGCCAGCAGCCGCGGCAAUACGUAGGUGGCAAGCGUUAUCCGGAAUUAUUGGGCGUAAAGCGCGCGUAGGCGGUUUUUUAGUCUGAUGUGAAAGCCCACGGCUCAACCGUGGAGGGUCAUUGGAAACUGGAAAACUUGAGUGCAGAAGAGGAAAGUGGAAUUCCAUGUGUAGCGGUGAAAUGCGCAGAGAUAUGGAGGAACACCAGUGGCGAAGGCGACUUUCUGGUCUGUAACUGACGCUGAUGUGCGAAAGCGUGGGGAUCAAACAGGAUUAGAUACCCUGGUAGUCCACGCCGUAAACGAUGAGUGCUAAGUGUUAGGGGGUUUCCGCCCCUUAGUGCUGCAGCUAACGCAUUAAGCACUCCGCCUGGGGAGUACGACCGCAAGGUUGAAACCCAAAGGAAUUGACGGGGACCCGCACAGGCGGUGGAGCAUGUGGUUUAAUUCGAAGCAACGCGAAGAACCUUACCAAAUCUUGACAUCCUUUGACAACUCUAGAGAUAGAGCCUUCCCCUUCGGGGGACAAAGUGACAGGUGGUGCAUGGUUGUCGUCAGCUCGUGUCGUGAGAUGUUGGGUUAAGUCCCGCAACGAGCGCAACCCUUAAGCUUAGUUGCCAUCAUUAAGUUGGGCACUCUAAGUUGACUGCCGGUGACAAACCGGAGGAAGGUGGGGAUGACGUCAAAUCAUCAUGCCCCUUAUGAUUUGGGCUACACACGUGCUACAAUGGACAAUACAAAGGGCAGCGAAACCGCGAGGUCAAGCAAAUCCCAUAAAGUUGUUCUCAGUUCGGAUUGUAGUCUGCAACUCGACUACAUGAAGCUGGAAUCGCUAGUAAUCGUAGAUCAGCAUGCUACGGUGAAUACGUUCCCGGGUCU